Molecule: ribosomal RNA, 492 nt
Filed under: uncultured bacterium
Lineage: Bacteria
Description: partial 16S ribosomal RNA
Rfam family: Bacterial small subunit ribosomal RNA
Source: RNAcentral
AGUGAACGCUGGCGGUAGGCCUAACACAUGCAAGUCGAACGGCAGCACAGUAAGAGCUUGCUCUUACGGGUGGCGAGUGGCGGACGGGUGAGGAAUACAUCGGAAUCUACUUUUUCGUGGGGGAUAACGUAGGGAAACUUACGCUAAUACCGCAUACGACCUACGGGUGAAAGCAGGGGAUCUUCGGACCUUGCGCGAUUGAAUGAGCCGAUGUCGGAUUAGCUAGUUGGCGGGGUAAAGGCCCACCAAGGCGACGAUCCGUAGCUGGUCUGAGAGGAUGAUCAGCCACACUGGAACUGAAACACGGUCCAGACUCCUACGGGAGGCAGCAGUGGGGAAUGUUGGACAAUGGGCGCAAGCCUGAUCCAGCCAGACCGCGUGGGUGAAGAAGGCCUUCGGGUUGUAAAGCCCUUUUGUUGGGAAAGAAAAGCAGCAGGUUAAUACCCCGCUGUUCUGACGGUACCCAAAGAAUAAGCACCGGCUAACUUCGUG